GAUGAACGCUGGCGGCGUGCCUAAUACAUGCAAGUCGAGCGAACAGACGAGGAGCUUGCUCCUUCGACGUUAGCGGCGGACGGGUGAGUAACACGUAGGUAACCUACCUAUAAGACUGGGAUAACUUCGGGAAACCGGAGCUAAUACCGGAUAAUAUUUCGAACCGCAUGGUUCGAUAGUGAAAGAUGGCUUUGCUAUCACUUAUAGAUGGACCUGCGCCGUAUUAGCUAGUUGGUAAGGUAACGGCUUACCAAGGCAACGAUACGUAGCCGACCUGAGAGGGUGAUCGGCCACACUGGAACUGAGACACGGUCCAGACUCCUACGGGAGGCAGCAGUAGGGAAUCUUCCGCAAUGGGCGAAAGCCUGACGGAGCAACGCCGCGUGAGUGAUGAAGGUCUUCGGAUCGUAAAACUCUGUUAUUAGGGAAGAACAAAAGUGUAAGUAACUGUGCACAUCUUGACGGUACCUAAUCAGAAAGCCACGGCUAACUACGUG
This 497-nucleotide ribosomal RNA is filed under the name uncultured bacterium. Its description in RNAcentral is "partial 16S ribosomal RNA". It matches the Rfam family "Bacterial small subunit ribosomal RNA", at positions 28 to 507 of the family's 1533-position model. The record is from RNAcentral.